This 32-nucleotide ribosomal RNA is filed under the name Najas flexilis. Its description in RNAcentral is "partial 18S ribosomal RNA". RNAcentral also lists the same sequence under 1 other name. The record is from RNAcentral. Lineage: Eukaryota; Viridiplantae; Streptophyta; Magnoliopsida; Alismatales; Hydrocharitaceae.
UUUCCGUAGGUGAACCUGCGGAAGGAUNAUUG